RNAcentral lists this long non-coding RNA (2461 nucleotides) under Lactuca sativa (garden lettuce). Its description in RNAcentral is "long non-coding RNA (LSAT_LNC002353)". Lineage: Eukaryota; Viridiplantae; Streptophyta; Magnoliopsida; Asterales; Asteraceae. The record is from RNAcentral.
UAGCACUAGCCGUCAUCCCCACCUUAUCACCCCUCCUCCAGCCGCCAUCGCCGACCCUUCCCCCUUGUUUCUCCGAUCAGUUGCCGACGAGUAGGACCAACGAAGCCAGCAACCUUGCCCCACCUUUCUGACCGAGAGCUUUGUUGGAGACCAAGUUGGAGCAAAGGUCCCCAGCCGCCGCAACCAUGGGAAUGACUUCAAUCGUUGCUGCUUCGCCGUGGGUUGCCGCCGUCGCAGCCCCGCUGCCGGUAACGCGUGUUCGUCGUGAUAGCCGCAAGGACCGACGACCGAGUGGGGUUUUGCUGCUGCAAGAGGCGUGAGUGAUCAGAAGAUCGAUGGUGAUCCCAUCCGCCGCCAUAGGUCCAUAGUGCAAAUGAGAAUCAUGUGUGCGGGGCUGUAUUUCCAUAUUUAGUGUGUGAUAUGUGUGUGUUGUCUAGCCGGAAUUCCUAAGAACAGCCGCCGACCACCGCUAGGGUGGUUAUGUGUGUGUGUUAUAAUUAGUUAGUGUGUGCGUGUGUGAUCAUUUUGAGUUAAGCACUGUAAUUGUAAUUAGCAAUGUAAUUGUAAUUAGCAAGAUGAAUAAUAAAAAGAAACUCAAAACCACCACCGUAAGGUGGUGGCCGCCGCCGUGUGCCGCCUUAGACCACCACUACCCGAGGUGGUAGUGGGUGGUGCCCCGCUAGCAAACCCUAAUGGGCUUAGACAAAAAUUGGACCAUGUUUGGGUGGAAAACCCUAAUCAUGAGUAUUGAGCCUUAGACUUAUUGGACCCAUUUUUGGGCCAUUGAGAUUGGAUUGUAUAUUAAGCUCAAAUUCUCCAUACCAAUUAUCUAGUAAAGGACUUAAUGGACUAAGUCCUUAAUGGGCUAAUUGAGAAAAUACUAAUAUUCGAGAAAGUAUCAAGACACACACACAGGAAUUAUUUAAUAAAUGAAAUAUUAAAUAAUAAUCAUUGACAGAGAUUAAUCUAAGCAUAAUUGACUUAAUGGAUUAAGUCCUUAGUGGGUUAAGCCCUUAAUUUCAUCAUUUUAUGUGAAAACCUAAUUUCACUUGGGCUUGGUGUUGGGCCAUCCAAGAUUAAUCAAAUGGACUAGAAUAAUUAGUUGGGCUCUUGGGUAAGGCCCAUAUGAAGGAUUGGGCCUAAUUUGGAAAAUUGGGCCAUAAAUGGACCAUAGUUGGGCCUCGUUGGUUGUAUGAUAUUGGGCCCUUAGAAUGAGACAUGUUGGACCGGACUGAGCAAUUGGGCCUUAAGGGAAGUCCAUGUAGAGGUUUGGGCCCAAUUUGGAAAAUUGGGCCAUAUGUUGGACUUUGAUCCCUAGUUGACUUUGGGCCUAUGGAUUGGGCCUUGGGCUUGGGUAAGCCAAGCUAGGGGUAAUGUAGUAAUUAUCCAAAGCAUGUAUUUUUAGUUAUGUGUUAGAACCCAAUUAUUAAUUGGGUGUUAUUUGGUGUUGACAGUUCGGGAAUCUGUCAGCCAGCAGCUGGGGUGGAGUCUGCGGGACUUCAGCAGUGUGGGAUUGUGUCUACGAGACUUCAGCAGUGUGAGGUGAGUUUCCUUCCAGUAGGAACGGGUCUACGGCCACAAUGCCGGCCCGUUUAGUUAGCAGUAGUUCCGGACUUCAGUCCGAUGCAGUAGUUCAGUAUGCUUGGUGUCUUUGUGAUACAGACAUGGUAUGAGUUAUGUGUCCCGGACUAUGGUCCGAUGCAGUAUGCAGUAUAUGUGUUUAUAUUAUAUGCUAUGAUUAUGUUAUGCUAUGUUUAGUUAGUUCCGGACCUCGGUCCGAUGCAGUAGUUAGAGUGCUUGAUGUCUUUGUGAUUCAAGCAUGUUUUGUGUUAUGUGUUCCGGACUCUGUUCCGAUGCAGUAUGCAGUAUAUGUAUUCAUGCUAGUUGAUAUGUUUAUGCUAUGUUAUGUUCAGUCAGUUCCGGACUUCNAGUUAGUUCCGGACUUCGGUCCAAUGCAGAGGGCAAGGCCCUGGUUAGUUCCGGACUCCGGUUCGAUGCAGUUUCCGGACUUUGGUCCGAUGCAGAGGGCAAGGCCCUGGUUAGUUUCUGGACUUCGGUCCGAUGCAGUGGGCAAGGCCCAGUAGAUGCUUUAUAUGUUAUUGUAUGGUAUGUGGUAGUUUGGGGGAGCUCACUAAGCUUCGUGCUUACGGUUUUCAGUUUUGGUUUCAGGUAGUCAGUUUUCAAAGGAGGAGCUCGGAAAGAUUGAAGUGUACACACCAUUUGUUCAGCCUGGGAUGUUUAUACUCUGAUAUAUUUAACAGUUGUUAAGAUAUUUUGAGAUACAUUCUUUAUGAUUCUUAUAUGACGAUUGAUGAAUAUGGUUUUAUUACUAAUUUUAAACGAAAUUCAGACUGUAUUUUUGGGAUGUUACAACUCCUUACUUACAAACUAAAAGAACACAUCACAAAACACUUACAAUGGUGGCCAUUAUAUUGGAAAUAAUCAAAAAUAAAUUCAAGUA